UGUUAUGUAAACCAUUGUAAUUGAAAAGCCA
This 31-nucleotide non-coding RNA is filed under the name Mus musculus (house mouse). The record is from RNAcentral. Lineage: Eukaryota; Metazoa; Chordata; Mammalia; Rodentia; Muridae.